GGCCGGGCGCGGUGGCUCACGCCUGUAAUCCCAGCUCUCAGGGAGGCAGAGGCGGGAGGAUAGCUUGAGCCCAGGAGUUCGAGACCUGCCUGGGUAAUAUAGCGAGACCCCGUUCUCCACAAAAAGGAAAAAAAAAAAAAAAAAAAAAGACAAAAAAAAAAUAAGCGCAACUCCCCUUAAAGCAACAACCCCUCCCCCCCCCUUU
Molecule: non-coding RNA, 205 nt
Filed under: Chlorocebus aethiops (grivet monkey)
Lineage: Eukaryota; Metazoa; Chordata; Mammalia; Primates; Cercopithecidae
Source: RNAcentral